This is a long non-coding RNA of Silurus meridionalis, 369 nucleotides long. RefSeq lists it as uncharacterized. Lineage: Eukaryota; Metazoa; Chordata; Actinopteri; Siluriformes; Siluridae. The transcript is spliced from 4 exons. The record is from RefSeq and is a predicted model, not a curated record.
AACCUAUCGAAUCACCUCAUAUAGGAUACAUUCUAUACCCAGUUAAGUUGAGUGUUCGGAAUCCCAUACCGUGUUUUUACUGACACGCUGGGGCAAGUACCAUCCCCUGAUCAGCGCACACAAGAUUGUGAAAAUCUUUAUAUCAUCAUGGCAGGUCACGGCCAAGUACUUCAACUCCUACACCAUCACUGGAAGGAGGAAUUGCGUCUUGGCCACGUAUGCCAGCAUCGCCACCCUUAUCCUGUUCUUCAAACUGAAGCCUAAGAAGAAAGCUGCAACGGUGAGCUGAGGCUUUGUGAAUGUUGCUGUACAGGAUGAAGAUUCAACAAACAGUUGUUUUGAUUCACAAUGUUAAAUAAAACUUGUACC